UACAGAGGGGGCGAGCGUUGUUCGGAAUUACUGGGCGUAAAGAGCUCGUAGGUGGUUUGUCGCGUUGUUCGUGAAAACUCACAGCUUAACUGUGGGCGUGCGGGCGAUACGGGCAGACUGGAGUACUGCAGGGGAGACUGGAAUUCCUGGUGUAGCGGUGGAAUGCGCAGAUAUCAGGAGGAACACCGGUGGCGAAGGCGGGUCUCUGGGCAGUAACUGACGCUGAGGAGCGAAAGCGUGGGGAGCGAACAGGA
This 254-nucleotide ribosomal RNA is filed under the name uncultured prokaryote. Its description in RNAcentral is "partial 16S ribosomal RNA". It matches the Rfam family "Bacterial small subunit ribosomal RNA", at positions 524 to 777 of the family's 1533-position model. The record is from RNAcentral.